AAAUGGAAAUCUCUAAUUGAAGAGAAAUAAAAUGAUGAUGGCUGGCAGAAGUCAUUUUGGAUACAGUACCUUAAUGAUCACUUGACUCUAUUAAUUUCAUGGGAUAUUUGCUAUGCAUUUGCACCUAAAUUCAGAUUAAUUAAUUAUUAAUUGAUGAUCAUUGAUUCCCUUGAUUGUCAAUUAUGUUGGCAUAUCUUUACAGGAUUAUACAGGUGAACACGUUA
Molecule: unclassified non-coding RNA, 224 nt
Filed under: Hevea brasiliensis (rubber tree)
Lineage: Eukaryota; Viridiplantae; Streptophyta; Magnoliopsida; Malpighiales; Euphorbiaceae
Source: RNAcentral